CUGGUUGUCUGGUUCACUCAAAUCUAAUCUGAUUUGAGUCUAAUUUGAAGCAAAUGAAUCCAAACACCCAAUUAUCUGUGAAAUAGACUAGAGAGUAUCAAAUUCUUAAUAAAUAACAUCAGUUAUUCUAAUAUUUAAUGUCUCUAGUGAUCUAAUUUAAGUGUGCAUCAAAAGCCAUAGAAUAGAACAUUGCUUCACAUCGAUAGGCCACCCAUAGGCAAAUGGAGAGGUGGAAGUGACCAAUAGAACUCUCCUACAGGGCUUAAUGGCUAGGUU
This 276-nucleotide long non-coding RNA is filed under the name Elaeis guineensis (African oil palm). RNAcentral's name for it is "long non-coding RNA (EGUI_LNC039483)". The record is from RNAcentral. Lineage: Eukaryota; Viridiplantae; Streptophyta; Magnoliopsida; Arecales; Arecaceae.